GACGAACGCUGGCGGCGUGCCUAAUACAUGCAAGUUGAGCGCUGAAGGUUGGUACUUGUACCAACUGGAUGAGCAGCGAACGGGUGAGUAACGCGUGGGGAAUCUGCCUUUGAGCGGGGGACAACAUUUGGAAACGAAUGCUAAUACCGCAUAAAAACUUUAAACACAAGUUUUAAGUUUGAAAGAUGCAAUUGCAUCACUCAAAGAUGAUCCCGCGUUGUAUUAGCUAGUUGGUGAGGUAAAGGCUCACCAAGGCGAUGAUACAUAGCCGACCUGAGAGGGUGGUCGGCCACAUUGGGACUGAGACACGGCCCCAACUCCUACGGGAGGCAGCAGUAGGGAAUCUUCGGCAAUGGACGAAAGUCUGACCGAGCAACGCCGCGUGAGUGAAGAAGGUUUUCGGAUCGUAAAACUCUGUUGGUAGAGAAGAACGUUGGUGAGAGUGGAAAGCUCAUCAAGUGACGGUAACUACCCAGAAAGGGACGGCUAACUACGUG
RNAcentral lists this ribosomal RNA (497 nucleotides) under uncultured bacterium. RNAcentral's name for it is "partial 16S ribosomal RNA". It matches the Rfam family "Bacterial small subunit ribosomal RNA", at positions 28 to 507 of the family's 1533-position model. The record is from RNAcentral.